GGGGUGGGCAGGCUGUGGCUUAGUGGAAGAGCUUCUGCUUUGCGGGCAGGAGGUAUCCGGUUCGAUCCCCGGCCCCUCCA
Molecule: transfer RNA, 80 nt
Filed under: Sphaerodactylus townsendi
Lineage: Eukaryota; Metazoa; Chordata; Lepidosauria; Squamata; Sphaerodactylidae
Description: tRNA-Ala
Source: RNAcentral